Molecule: long non-coding RNA, 2144 nt
Organism: Heterocephalus glaber (naked mole-rat)
Lineage: Eukaryota; Metazoa; Chordata; Mammalia; Rodentia; Bathyergidae
Source: RefSeq, a predicted model, not a curated record
UCACAGCCAGGACAUGCCAGCUCCUGCCCUUGACUUCAGCAUUCCAGGCUCUCUGGAUCCAGGACUUAUUCCAGUGGCCCCUUCAGGUUCUGAACUCUUUGGACUUGAGUCAAGCUGCUGGCAUCCCAAGGCUGCCAAUUGGGCUGAAGCUAUGAGAAGGUGAAAUUGACACUUGGCUAUAUGAAGGUGUACAGUCCUUGGGGAUGAGAGGAGUAGAGGAAGAAACCCUGAAUCAGAAAAGAACAAGAACUCAGAACUCCAGGAUACUCUGCUUAAAAUUCAUCAGAUUCAUCUGGUUACUUCUUCAGGACAAAGCAAGUAAUAUACAUCUGCGGACCUCACACUGAAUGUGCUGUGGCUGCUGGGUAGGACAGGAAUAGAUGUAAAGACAAGAUCUUCUGGAGGAGUUGGAGUUGAUGAAAUCCAGAGAUAUAUGAGAGUACAGGUGGCCAUGAGGUGAACAGCUUUCUCUGCCACAUGCCUUCAUCAUUAUAUACAGUACUGCUUCACCAAGGAUUUAAAAGCAGUGAGCCAACCAACUGUGAACUGAAUCCUUCCAACCUGUGAAACAAAAAAAACCUUUACUCUUUCUGCAUUGAUUAUCUCAACAUUUUGUUACAGCAACAGAAAUCUAAUGCAGACAUGAAACCAGCAUUAUCAAGUGUCUACCUCCAGAUCUCUUAUUAAGUAAGAAAAACAAAUCCUCUUUAUUUAAUCCACUGUAAUUGUAAUUCAUCUGUUUGUUUCCAGAUUUAUGUCACACUCUGGAUAUUCCAAAUGAUAUUUCCAAACUCUGUGACCAGUUGGCUCUAGCUAGCUCAGCAGUAGCAGCACUAAUGGGAAAUUGGAGAAUGCAAAGAAAAGAGAAUCCAGGGAAUUUCUUCCCUUUUUCCUCUAGUUCAGGCAGUAAUUCCAGUAUUGGUGUUGUCUCUUGCGUGAUCCUAGAUGAGCCCUCUUCCAUGUUCCCAGCUCCCACCCAGCAGACAUCUUAAACAUCUUAUAGAUCCAAUGGCUCUUUCUACUGAAAUCUGAUACACACCAUCUCCUUCAGUUGUCCUUUCAGCAUUGUGGGUGGUAGUGGCUUCCUGCUGUUACUAAUCUCUAAACUGCUAAUCUCUAAGAAGGCGUAUCUGCUUUCUCAGCUCUUCUAGACCCUUAGCAGCUAAUAAUGCUCUGUACUAAAUUAUUUCUAUUGCAAAACUUGACAUGGUCUAGGUUGUCCCAACUGGAUCCUGAUUGAUACAGUAUCUUAGGUGAGUUUUCUAUAACUUUCACAAACCACUUUACAAAUUUAUUCAAACCUUAGAAAAAGCUUCUUUAUCUUGUGGAGUAGAAGUUUUCUACCAUUUCUUCUAUUUUUUUUUUUUUUUUUUGUACCGGGGAUCGAACUUGGGUCCUUGCACUUGUGCAGCAGGCAGCGAAAUCACUGAGCUAAAUCCCUGGCCCUACCAUUUUAAAAAAAUGUAAUACAAACCUUCACAGUUUGGUGUCAAAACUAUAGGACUAAACAUAAUAAAGCCUGUUCAUCCUUCUUAGAUUGUUCAAUUCUUGGGCAUGAUGUUGAAUUAGGUUGAAUUAAAAGCCAUAGAAAAAUUUUGAAAAUUCAUUUGUAGAUUCAUGAUUUGGUUGUGAGUUUGAAUCCUUAAUCUAUAAUUCUGGCUGACAUAUGAAAUAUAUGACUUCCUCCCUUAUUGUUGUGCCAACUUCAUGAAUCUCAUGCUCAGAGGAGUAAAACAAAAAUUAUAAAUACCUCAGAGACAUGUUUCAUGAGCUUUAAAGGGUCAUAUAAAUAAAGCAAUUACAAAGGGCCUAGCAUCUCUUCCUCUACUUCCCUAGUGAAUGUGUGUAUAAUAAAUUUAUCAUCCAUGUUAUGUGAAUGUCCUUUUAUUCCAGAGUCUCCAAUCUAAUCAUAGUUAAGCUAAAAAAGGGGAUUAUAGCUUUAUCAGAAGUUUGUUUUACAAGACUGCCACAUAACUCUGCCAGAUAUGGUAUCCUGUUUUCAUUUUCCCACUACACUGACCCCAAAGAUCACAUUAAAUAAAGGUGAAAUCAUUAUGUAGAAAUGUAAACAGUUUGCUCAGUGUAAUUUGAAAAUAUGUUUUAUUUUAGGGAAAAGUAAUGUGCCGCAGACCAGCUGCAGUCGA